AGGUGAACCUGCGGGAUCAUCUCUGCGUUUUGUACUCAUAACCCUGCUUGACAAGGGUUGGUUCCAGGCGGCGUGACCCUCCCGGCCCCGGACGCCCGGGUGGGUGGGCGCCCGCCGGAGGAAAACCAAAAUUCGAUUUAAGAAGUCUUCUUAUGUCAGGUACAAGCAAAUAAUUAAAAACUUUAACUAUGGAUGUUUUGGUUUUGGCGAAGAAGAAGAAGGCAGGGAAAAAGGAUAAGUAAUGGGAAAAGCCGAAGUCUCAGAAUCUUUGAAUAUUCACACGCCCCCUUCGCCCACUCGCAAUGGCACGGGCAUGCGAGUUUCAGUUUCACCUCCACCCUCAAGCUGGGAUUGGGCAAGGUCCCCUACAGGUCAGGUAGGCCAUCAAUGGGAGACCGGUCCCAGCCGGGAGUCCGUAGUGUAGUAUCUCGCUUCUAGCACUGGGAUCCGGCGGCAGUCCAAUCGUACAACCCGUCAAUUUCCCAAGGUGACCUCGGAUCAGGAGAA
This 507-nucleotide ribosomal RNA is filed under the name Melanconium sp. DWM66. Its description in RNAcentral is "eukaryotic LSU rRNA". The stretch from base 178 to 331 matches the Rfam family "5.8S ribosomal RNA". The record is from RNAcentral. Lineage: Eukaryota; Fungi; Ascomycota; Sordariomycetes; Diaporthales; Melanconidaceae.